Non-coding RNA from Microcebus murinus (gray mouse lemur), 1313 nucleotides. The record is from RefSeq and is a predicted model, not a curated record. Lineage: Eukaryota; Metazoa; Chordata; Mammalia; Primates; Cheirogaleidae.
GUGGUUCAGAGCCCCCACCCUCCUCCUCAGCCUCUUCCUUCCCCACCCCCACGCCCAGCCUCUGUCUAGAGGAGGCCUCACCCCUGCGGAGGCUGUGCCGGCCCCUCUCCGACCAGCCCCUGCCCUCAGCCGCUUUCCACAGCGACUCUCACAGUCGUCUGGGGAACAGCCUGGUGACACCCGGGCCCUGACACCUGGGGGUGGCACUCCAACAAUUCAAUCUCCACAUUGUGAGCAGCCGACCACCGUCCUCGCACCCCACGUAGGCACCGUACGUUCCUGAGGAAGUGCCACGUUUCUCUGCAGAAACCCUCACGUUCUGGGUCGGCCAGAACGAUUCCAUUCUCAUGCAUUUUGAGUGCAGAGAGGCUAAUCAUGAGCAAAACACCGGAGAAGCCCACAUUGAGGGAUGUUCCACAGCGCUCCGGACCAGCUCUCCUCCAAACUGUCACAAAGGCUCGUGGGAAACCAGGAGAGGACCGAGAGGUGGCCGCAGAGGAAGACAGCCCCGGGCGUCCUCUCUACGUGAUGACAUCCAAACCCAUCACUGUCACCCCCUUAUAUGUUCUGCUGGCCUCCACAUCUCUAUCUAAAGCCCAGAGCUUUCUCCAGAGCUUCCAACUGUCAUCGUCAUCUGCCCAGUGCAAAUCUCCAUUGGAGGCGCUGUGGCUCUGCUCAGUCUCACCUCACACAACAUUGAAGAAAUUUUUAUUGUCCGUUCAAGUCUUCUUAUUGUCCUCUGUUCCAUAUCUUUAUUUAUUUAUUUAUUUUUGGUCUUGAUUUCUUGGUUACUAAAUGCUUAUAGCAAAUAAAUCAGGCAAUGAAAAUUUUCAAAAACCAAAUCAAUCAAAGACGCUACAUUUCCCAAAACCAAGCUGAGCCUCUGGAGAGAGCAGGCCCCGGCGUCUGGAAGGAGCUCUCCGUGAGCAGCCUGGCGUCGGGGUGAGUCAUUUGCGGCCUUAAGACUGUAGGAAGCCAAUGAGGAGUUCUCCCUCCUGGUGGAAACUGGUGAGGGACCUGCCUGGAAUCGCAGGGAGACAUUCGGGCGGCGGCUCUUCCCCGGCAGCCGGUAACCACGGCAUGUUUGUGAAACCCCCUGGGCGUUCCCCAGCACGGCCUCGGUGGUCCUCGGUCCCAGCAUCCAGGUGGAGAGAAGACACGGGCCUCCUCCGAGUGGGCCUCUCUCUUCCGCCCCCACCCCGACCUUUAUUCCGGCUGCUCUUUGAUAGAGCCAAACCCCCUCUGAUCACCCCGCUUCCUCCUCUCGCUGCCUCGAGUCACUCGAGCCUUCUGCAUUAUUAAUAAAAAGUUUC